UAUUGAAGGGUGCUUGCAUCUUGAUUUAAUUUUGAACGAGUGGCGGACGGGUGAGUAACACGUGGGUAACCUGCCCUUAAGUGGGGGAUAACAUUUGGAAACAGAUGCUAAUACCGCAUAAAUCCAAGAACCGCAUGGUUCUUGGCUGAAAGAUGGCGUAAGCUAUCGCUUUUGGAUGGACCCGCGGCGUAUUAGCUAGUUGGUGAGGUAACGGCUCACCAAGGCAAUGAUACGUAGCCGAACUGAGAGGUUGAUCGGCCACAUUGGGACUGAGACACGGCCCAAACUCCUACGGGAGGCAGCAGUAGGGAAUCUUCCACAAUGGACGCAAGUCUGAUGGAGCAACGCCGCGUGAGUGAAGAAGGCUUUCGGGUCGUAAAACUCUGUUGUUGGAGAAGAAUGGUCGGCAGAGUAACUGUUGUCGGCGUGACGGUAUCCAACCAGAAAGCCACGGCUAACUACGUGCCAGCAGCCGCGGUAAUACGUAGGUGGCAAGCGUUAUCCGGAUUUAUUGGGCGUAAAGCGAGCGCAGGCGGUUUUUUAAGUCUGAUGUGAAAGCCCUCGGCUUAACCGAGGAAGUGCAUCGGAAACUGGGAAACUUGAGUGCAGAAGAGGACAGUGGAACUCCAUGUGUAGCGGUGAAAUGCGUAGAUAUAUGGAAGAACACCAGUGGCGAAGGCGGCUGUCUGGUC
Molecule: ribosomal RNA, 692 nt
Filed under: uncultured Bacilli bacterium
Lineage: Bacteria; Bacillati; Bacillota; Bacilli
Description: bacterial SSU rRNA
Rfam family: Bacterial small subunit ribosomal RNA
Source: RNAcentral